Molecule: ribosomal RNA, 709 nt
Filed under: uncultured beta proteobacterium
Lineage: Bacteria; Pseudomonadati; Pseudomonadota; Betaproteobacteria
Description: bacterial SSU rRNA
Rfam family: Bacterial small subunit ribosomal RNA
Source: RNAcentral
CGGCAGCACGGGUGCUUGCACCUGGUGGCGAGUGGCGAACGGGUGAGUAAUACAUCGGAACAUGUCCUGUAGUGGGGGAUAGCCCGGCGAAAGCCGGAUUAAUACCGCAUACGAUCUACGGAUGAAAGCGGGGGACCUUCGGGCCUCGCGCUAUAGGGUUGGCCGAUGGCUGAUUAGCUAGUUGGUGGGGUAAAGGCCUACCAAGGCGACGAUCAGUAGCUGGUCUGAGAGGACGACCAGCCACACUGGGACUGAGACACGGCCCAGACUCCUACGGGAGGCAGCAGUGGGGAAUUUUGGACAAUGGGCGAAAGCCUGAUCCAGCAAUGCCGCGUGUGUGAAGAAGGCCUUCGGGUUGUAAAGCACUUUUGUCCGGAAAGAAAUCCUUGGUUCUAAUAUAGCCGGGGGAUGACGGUACCGGAAGAAUAAGCACCGGCUAACUACGUGCCAGCAGCCGCGGUAAUACGUAGGGUGCGAGCGUUAAUCGGAAUUACUGGGCGUAAAGCGUGCGCAGGCGGUUUGCUAAGACCGAUGUGAAAUCCCCGGGCUCAACCUGGGAACUGCAUUGGUGACUGGCAGGCUAGAGUAUGGCAGAGGGGGGUAGAAUUCCACGUGUAGCAGUGAAAUGCGUAGAGAUGUGGAGGAAUACCGAUGGCGAAGGCAGCCCCCUGGGCCAAUACUGACGCUCAUGCACGAAAGCGUGGGGAGC